Molecule: unclassified non-coding RNA, 304 nt
Filed under: plant metagenome
Description: partial contains 5.8S ribosomal RNA, internal transcribed spacer 2, and large subunit ribosomal RNA
Rfam family: 5.8S ribosomal RNA (bases 1-105)
Source: RNAcentral
GAAAUGCGAUAAGUAGUGUGAAUUGCAGAAUUCAGUGAAUCAUCGAAUCUUUGAACGCACAUUGCGCCCCCUGGUAUUCCAUGGGGCAUGCCUGUUCGAGCGUCAUUUGUACCUUCAAGCUUUGCUUGGUGUUGGGUGUUUGUCUCGCCUCUGCGUGUAGACUCGCCUCAAAACAAUUGGCAGCCGGCGUAUUGAUUUCGGAGCGCAGUACAUCUCGCGCUUUGCACUCAUAACGACGACGUCCAAAAGUACAUUUUUACACUCUUGACCUCGGAUCAGGUAGGGAUACCCGCUGAACUUAAGC